The submitters of this non-coding RNA (58 nucleotides) gave its source as unclassified sequences. The record is from Rfam.
GAAAGGUCAUGCCUUUAGCAGCAUGGCUGGAUGCUUGCAUACCGGCAUCCCAGUUAGG